This 468-nucleotide ribosomal RNA is filed under the name uncultured bacterium. RNAcentral describes it as "partial 16S ribosomal RNA". It matches the Rfam family "Bacterial small subunit ribosomal RNA", at positions 28 to 507 of the family's 1533-position model. The record is from RNAcentral.
GACGAACGCUGGCGGCGUGCUUAACACAUGCAAGUCGAACGGAAAGGCCCUGCUUUUGUGGGGUGCUCGAGUGGCGAACGGGUGAGUAACACGUGAGUAACCUGCCCUUGACUUUGGGAUAACUUCAGGAAACUGGGGCUAAUACCGUAUAGGAUCUCCUGCUGCAUGGUGGGGGUUGGAAAGUUUCGGCGGUUGGGGAUGGACUCGCGGCUUAUCAGCUUGUUGGUGGGGUAGUGGCUUACCAAGGCUUUGACGGGUAGCCGGCCUGAGAGGGUGACCGGCCACAUUGGGACUGAGAUACGGCCCAGACUCCUACGGGAGGCAGCAGUGGGGAAUAUUGCACAAUGGGAGGAAGCCUGAUGCAGCAACGCCGCGUGCGGGAUGACGGCCUUCGGGUUGUAAACCGCUUUCGCCUGUGACGAAGCGUGAGUGACGGUAAUGGGUAAAGAAGCACCGGCUAACUACGUG